CCUACGGGAGGCAGCAGUGAGGAAUAUUGGUCAAUGGGCGCGAGCCUGAACCAGCCAAGUCGCGUGAAGGAUGACUGCCCUACGGGUUGUAAACUUCUUUUAUAAAGGAAUAAAGUGAGCCACGUGUGCCUUUUUGUAUGUACUUUAUGAAUAAGGAUCGGCUAACUCCGUGCCAGCAGCCGCGGUAAUACGGAGGAUGCGAGCGUUAUCCGGAUUUUUUGGGUUUAAAGGGAGCGUAGAUGGUUUGUUAAGUCAGUUGUGAAAGUUUGCGGCUCAACCGUAAAAUUGCAAUUGAUACUGGCAGUCUUGAGUACAGUUGAGGUAGGCGGAAUUCGUGGUGUAGCGGUGAAAUGCUUAGAUAUCACGAAGAACUCCGAUUGCGAAGGCAGCUUACUAAGCUGCCACUGACACUGAUGCGCGAAAGUGUGGGGAUCAAACAGGAUUAGAUACCCUUGUAGUC
Molecule: ribosomal RNA, 460 nt
Filed under: uncultured bacterium
Lineage: Bacteria
Description: partial 16S ribosomal RNA
Rfam family: Bacterial small subunit ribosomal RNA
Source: RNAcentral